GAGACCUGUGCCUACAAUUGCUAACGAACGAUUUAUCGGGAUCGAGCACAUUGUAGGGACUGCCUGUGAAAACAGGAGGAAGGUGCAGGCUACGGUAGGUCUGUAUGCUCCGAAUCUUCUGGGCUACACGCGCGCAACAAUGGUAGGGACAAUGGGAUACAACUCCGAAAGGAGAAGUUAAACCUCUAAACCCUAUCUUAGUCCAGAUUGAGGGUUGUAACUCACCCUCAUGACGCUGGAAUCCCUAGUAAUCGGAUUUCAUCACACUCCGGUGAAUAU
Molecule: ribosomal RNA, 279 nt
Filed under: uncultured archaeon
Lineage: Archaea
Description: partial 16S rRNA
Rfam family: Archaeal small subunit ribosomal RNA
Source: RNAcentral